AGAAUCAACGCUGGCGGCGUGCCUAACACAUGCAAGUCGAACGCGAAAGCCCCGAAAGGGGCAAGUAGAGUGGCAAACGGGUGAGUAACACGUGGGUGACCUGCCUUCGAGCGGGGGAUAACGUCCCGAAAGGGACGCUAAUACCGCAUAACAUCCUGCCUUUGAAGAGGUGGAGAUCAAAGCUGGGGAUUCGCAAGAACCCGGCACUUGAAGAGGGGCCCGCGUCUGAUUAGCUAGUUGGUGGGGUAACGGCCUACCAAAGGCAACGAUCAGUA
RNAcentral lists this ribosomal RNA (275 nucleotides) under uncultured soil bacterium. Its description in RNAcentral is "partial 16S ribosomal RNA". It matches the Rfam family "Bacterial small subunit ribosomal RNA", at positions 26 to 285 of the family's 1533-position model. The record is from RNAcentral.